This 3235-nucleotide long non-coding RNA is filed under the name Nicotiana tabacum (common tobacco). RNAcentral describes it as "long non-coding RNA (NTAB_LNC003045)". The record is from RNAcentral. Lineage: Eukaryota; Viridiplantae; Streptophyta; Magnoliopsida; Solanales; Solanaceae.
AUACUUCUAAGGUUCGAUUGACAUGAUUGGGGAAAUAUGCUAUAACUGUUGCACAAUUUUAUCCACUCACACCUCUUGGUAGAGAGAGUGAUUUUGCCCAAUUGACUUUCUCGAGACCAAAUGGGUAGGCAAAUUAGCUCAAGCAACUAGGGUUCAAGUUGGGUAAUUACUCUCUCGAGUCCAUCCCAAUUCCUUGUUGGGUCAAUUUUGGAGACUUAGGCUCUCUUUCUCAAGAAGAGCCCAAGUCAACUUAGCAAAAACCAGUUUGCAACCACCAAUUCAUAGAUUAAACCAUAAAAUUGACCCAAAUAACAAACACCUGAAUCUAACAACACUAGCUAAUGGGUUUAGCUACUCCUGCUUGAAGAAGAAAAUAAAAAAAUAGAUGAAGAAAUUAAUUAAAAGCUAAUGUAUUUACAGAGAAUCUAUUGUUAAAUCUAAGUUAAGAUGCCAAAAAUGGCUACACAGCUUCUCACGAGCACAACUUCAUUCUCUAAACUCAGGACCGCACAAAAUGGACUGCGGCCGCACUAGGUCUUGGCUCUCUAAACUCAGGCUCCGCGAACCACGGCCGCGGAGGCAACUAGCGCAGUCCGCACAAACAUGACCGCGUACCACAUGGGUUUGAUGUUGGCACUGGACAUCUCUCUAAUCUUCUCCUCCGCGGACUGCACAAAAUAGUAGUGCGGUCGCGAAGCCUUCAGUGCGGAGUGCGCAAGAUCGGAUGCAGCCAGCACUGCCUUGAAGCUUAAUUUGCUACUUCUCUGAAUCCCCUAGUGCGGACUGCACAAAGUGUAGUGCGACCGCACUAGGCCUUUUUGUCCUGAGUUUGCCUUUUCUUUGGUACUUGAGCAGGUUUCACUCCUUUGAGCCGAUCUUUGACAUUUCGUCACUUUGUCGAUCAAGCCUGCAAUCAAGACAACUUAUGAGCCUUUUGGGACUACUUUGUAAGAAUUUAUAAUCAAAGCUUAAGUAGGAAGGAGCAUAAAACAUGUCAAAAUUCCUAGUUAUCAGAAUGAUAUCUUGCUAUAGGGAGUGAAAUGUUCAUUGUUGUUUAAAAAAUUCUUAAUGCUUUAAGGCACGAAUAUCGAGAAAUUUCAUGACGAACCAAGCUUGUUAAAGGAUUUACGGGCAAACCUUAUAAAAAUAAAAGGACAUCUUAAUUAUAUUCUAAGAAUUGGAGUGGACCUAGGAGAAAUCUGAACCUAAAUAAAUACUUAAACGGCGCUCUAGAAUCAUUAAAGAGCACUAAGCGCGGAACAUUUGGUGGUUAUUAUUAUUAUUAUUAAUUCGAGAAGAUAAGAAUGUAAAAUGUAUGAACAUAUAAAGUAUAUAAAAAUGUAUCAUAACAAUAAAAAACACACAAAUUAAAUUUUAUUAUUAAUUUAAUUAAUUAUCGGAUCAAAUUAAUUUUAAUCCAACAUAAUAAGGCCCCAGCAGAGUCGCCAAGCUGUUAUACCCCAUUUUAAAACGGGUCAAAUUAGAGUAUAACAUAUUGGUACUUCUGAGAUUUAAUUAAUUAAAGAGAAUCGUCACCUAAUUAUUUUAAUGGUAAAUUAGGACACCAAUUUUAGCUAAGUAAUGCUUAAAGUUAACUCUAUUUUAAGGCAUGCUUAACUUAAGAUUAUGGGUAAAGGUUCUAAUUAAUCCUAUAGGGAAGGUUGUAAAAGCAUUCUAUAUGAUCCGCUAAUUACAGUUAACCGGCCAAACUUAGGUUAAUUAAUUGAAAACUCUGUUGCUUAGAAAAAUUAUUGGAAGGGAGAAUGAUUAACUAAAUUAAAUUAGGGACAACAUAAUAAGGCGACACUGACUAAUUCUUUAUUUUAAAAGACUCAAAAAUUGAAAAUCAUUUUGAGCCUAGAAUUUGGUUCAAAGUAGACCAACAUAUGACACGAAAUAAUUUUGAAGGAAAAUAUUGAAACUUCGAAAAGAUGAAACUAACUUUUAAAGAAACAUUAUGUUCAUUAAAACAUUUCAAAGGGGUAAGGGGUAAUAGGUUUAAGAGUCAGUUUUGACUUGAAUAAAUCAAUAGCUCAAAUAUCAUUCUUAAAGGAACAAGCUAAAGGGAAAAAUGUUCCUACGUUAAACAUUGUUUAAAGAAAAGUAAGUUUUAAUACAAACUCCUAUUGAACUUUAAUCUCGAUUUUAGUUAAGAAGGCAACUUAUAGUAUGCCCAAAAGACAGAAUGCAACUUCACUUGUUAAUCGACAUUAAGACAAAAUACUUCUAUUGCAUAAUAUUAAAGUAGGAAAGCUGUGGUUAAUCCUAAUUGCUUAAUAAAUUAUCUAAUAACUGAAACAUCACAUAUUGAUCCAAAUAUAUCAUUCUUGUUUAAAUAACACAAGUAUAGCACAAAUGAGCUUCAAUACACAAGAUUAUUACAUAAACGACACCUAUGUCGCGAUUUCUAUGCAGUAAAUAAUUGCAUGUCUUCAAACCAACAUUUAUUAUGAACCUAAAACGGUAACAAGGGAAAAGAAUGAUUGAAAGUUACGGACCUUUUUGCGGGCAGCGAACCGAGGCGGGGUCUUAGAUGCACUAUUGAACUCCGACUUCGAACUCUCUACCUUAGACGAUCGGUAGUCGCCAGAAUAAGCAAAUAAACCAUUGUAAUGGCUAAAAAUACAAAGAGAGCUAGAGAACUUUGUUUUUUAAUUAGAGGAAAAGGAAAUGCAUUAAUAGAGGUGGCUGAAAACUCUCGACUUUGGGGUAAAAGUGGGCGGCUCUAGGGCUCCCCUUAAAUGAGUUUCAGAGCCGGUAUUUAUAGAUAGAAGUUAGGGUUCUUGAGAGGGAUUUUUCAAAUUCAAAUUUUAAAUUUCGGUUAACAUAUCCGUUUGAAUCCGAACGUUGGAGGUUUGGACGGAUUCACGUGAUUUCCUCUGUUCUUGCCCGAAUUGGUGAGAUUUUUGACUGAGACAUUAAAGAUUUGCAGGUUAUCGAGCACAAAUGCAGAAGAGCAAAGAAAGAGAUGUAUUUGCACAAAAAUGAUGCAACAUCAUUUGAUUAAAAGGUGUCAAGGCUUGGAGGUUUCUAAAAAUGAAGAAGGUGACAAAGGAAGGUGGACAGAGGCGCUGCUGUGUUUUCUUACUAGGUUAGAAAUUAAGGAAUAAAAUAUUUGAAGGGGUGUUGGGCCGAUUGGGCUGAGCUUCAGGCGGGUUUGGGGCAUAAGCUUGGCCGAACUGGGCCUACUCUUAGGGCUAGAGAUUGUAUUGAAUUUUAGGUGACUAGAUAUUGG